Molecule: long non-coding RNA, 368 nt
Organism: Oncorhynchus tshawytscha (Chinook salmon)
Lineage: Eukaryota; Metazoa; Chordata; Actinopteri; Salmoniformes; Salmonidae
Source: Ensembl
UCCUCUUCUGGCUGUGCCGGGUGGAGAUUAUAACAGAACAUGGCCAAGAUGUUCAAAUGUUCAUAAAUGACCAGCAUGGUCGAAUAAUAAUAAGGCAGAACAGUUGAAACUGGAGCAGCAGCACAGUCAGGUGGAAGUUGAAACUGGAGCAGCAGCAUGGCCAGGUGGACUGGGGACAGCAAGGAGUCAUCAUGUCAGAUAGUCCUGGGGCAUGGUCCUAGGGCUCAGGUCCUCCGAGAGAGAGAAAAAAAGAGAGAAUUAGAGAGAGCAUAUGUGGGGUGGCCAGUCCUCUUCUGGCUGUGCCGGGUGGAGAUUAUAACAGAACAUGGCCAAGAUGUUCAAAUGUUCAUAAAUGAUCAGCAUGUUCG